UACGUAGGGGGCAAGCGUUGUCCGGAUUUAUUGGGCGUAAAGAGCGUGUAGGCGGCCAUACAGGUCAGCUGUGAAAACUCGAGGCUCAACCUCGAGACGUCGGUUGAAACCGUAUGGCUAGAGUCCGGAAGAGGAGAGUGGAAUUCCCGGUGUAGCGGUGAAAUGCGCAGAUAUCGGGAAGAACACCUAUGGCGAAGGCAGCUCGCUGGGACGGUACUGACGCUGAGACGCGAAAGCGUGGGGAGCAAACAGG
RNAcentral lists this ribosomal RNA (253 nucleotides) under uncultured bacterium. RNAcentral describes it as "partial 16S ribosomal RNA". It matches the Rfam family "Bacterial small subunit ribosomal RNA", at positions 524 to 776 of the family's 1533-position model. The record is from RNAcentral.